This 429-nucleotide ribosomal RNA is filed under the name uncultured Pseudomonas sp. Its description in RNAcentral is "bacterial SSU rRNA". It matches the Rfam family "Bacterial small subunit ribosomal RNA", at positions 952 to 1382 of the family's 1533-position model. The record is from RNAcentral. Lineage: Bacteria; Pseudomonadati; Pseudomonadota; Gammaproteobacteria; Pseudomonadales; Pseudomonadaceae.
CGAAGCAACGCGAAGAACUUACCAGGCCUUGACAUGCAGAGAACUUUCCAGAGAUGGAUUGGUGCCUUCGGGAACUCUGACACAGGUGCUGCAUGGCUGUCGUCAGCUCGUGUCGUGAGAUGUUGGGUUAAGUCCCGUAACGAGCGCAACCCUGUCCUUAGUUACCAGCACGUUAUGGUGGGCACUCUAAGGAGACUGCCGGUGACAAACCGGAGGAAGGUGGGGAUGACGUCAAGUCAUCAUGACCCUUACGGCCUGGGCUACACACGUGCUACAAUGGUCGGUACAAAGGGUUGCCAAGCCGCGAGGUGGAGCUAAUCCCAUAAAACCGAUCGUAGUCCGGAUCGCAGUCUGCAACUCGACUGCGUGAAGUCGGAAUCGCUAGUAAUCGUGAAUCAGAAUGUCACGGUGAAUACGUUCCCGGGCCUU